UUUAGGCUUAGGCUUAGGCUUAAGUUAAGGCUUAGGUGUAGGCUUAGGCUUAGGCUUAAGGUUAUAUUUAGGCUUAUGCCUAGGAUUAGGCUUAGAAGUAAGCUCAGGCUUAGGCCCAGAUUCAUGCUUAGGUUUAGACUCAGGCAAGCUUAGGCUUAGGAUUAAGCUCAGGCCUAGGCUUA
Molecule: non-coding RNA, 182 nt
Organism: Caenorhabditis elegans
Lineage: Eukaryota; Metazoa; Nematoda; Chromadorea; Rhabditida; Rhabditidae
Source: Ensembl